Molecule: ribosomal RNA, 182 nt
Filed under: uncultured bacterium
Lineage: Bacteria
Description: partial 16S ribosomal RNA
Rfam family: Bacterial small subunit ribosomal RNA
Source: RNAcentral
CAUGAAGCUGGAAUCGCUAGUAAUCGCAGAUCAGAAUGCUGCGGUGAAUACGUUCCCGGGUCUUGUACACACCGCCCGUCACACCAUGGGAGUUGGAAAUGCCCGAAGUCAGUGACCGAACCGAAAGGAAGGAGCUGCCGAAGGUGGAGCCGAUGACUGGGGUGAAGUCGUAACAAGGUAGC